RNAcentral lists this ribosomal RNA (495 nucleotides) under uncultured bacterium. RNAcentral's name for it is "partial 16S ribosomal RNA". It matches the Rfam family "Bacterial small subunit ribosomal RNA", at positions 28 to 507 of the family's 1533-position model. The record is from RNAcentral.
GAUGAACGCUGGCGGCGUGCCUAAUACAUGCAAGUCGAACGCUGAAGGAGGAGCUUGCUCUUCUGGAUGAGUUGCGAACGGGUGAGUAACGCGUAGGUAACCUGCCUGGUAGCGGGGGAUAACUAUUGGAAACGAUAGCUAAUACCGCAUGACAACAGUUAUUGCAUGAUAACUGUUUAAAAGGGGCAACUGCUCCACUACCAGAUGGACCUGCGUUGUAUUAGCUAGUUGGUGAGGUAACGGCUCACCAAGGCGACGAUACAUAGCCGACCUGAGAGGGUGAUCGGCCACACUGGGACUGAGACACGGCACAGCAUCCUACGGGAGGCAGCAGUAGGGAAUUUUCGGCAAUGGAGGGAAGGCUGACCGUGCAACGCCGAGGGAGUGAAGAAGGGUUUCGGAUCGUAAAGCUCUGUUGUAAGAGAAGGACGAGUGUGAGAGUGGAAAGUUCACACUGUGACGGUAUCUUACCAGAAAGAGACGGCUAACUACGUG